Molecule: long non-coding RNA, 2481 nt
Filed under: Mus pahari (shrew mouse)
Lineage: Eukaryota; Metazoa; Chordata; Mammalia; Rodentia; Muridae
Description: lncRNA (MGP_PahariEiJ_G0005293.1)
Source: RNAcentral
GAAAGGAGCCGAUCUCAUUACUGAGGCCCGGACACAUUAUUUUCUCCAAGGAAUUUCUUCUUUUCAUUAUUUCCCUCCAAAGAUAGCAGUCCAGCCAUCCUUGCUAAGUUCCUGAGAUUCCCUCCAAGGUCUGGGCUUUUCUCCAACACGUGGCUCCCUGCUACCAUCUGAGAAGUCCCUGAUGCUGAGGUCUCUGCUGACUUGCCCCGAAGGAUUGCCGACACAAGGACAUUUAUGUCUUCCCCACAGGGAAAAACACCCCAUUAGAAGGCAGAAGUCUGGUUACUCAUAGGAUCUCCAGGGAGCUGCAGUGACACCAGAGGAGGGCUACUGGAAAUGGCACCAGGACAUCAUAUGUGUUUUCCAGAUCCCAACAUGGAAGAAUUGGAAAGGGAAAGGCAUUAUAUACUCAAGGAUGCUGGUGGAGUUUAUCCCCAGCCUGUUGUGUUUCCGGGCCUCGGCUUGGAGACAGAGGUGGCUUCCUCCCUUCCCUGGGGGAGGCUUCAUUCCUGACUCCUGACCUGCCUCUUCUCUAGAGCAGGUCCUGCAUCCUUACUCUCUGAGUGAUCCUGACUGGCAAGAAGGGACAGCAGUGAAGAGCCUAACAGAACCAAGCCUAUGGCUCCUGCUUCUCAGCCUGGCAAGCCCACCUGCAGGAAACCUGAUUGCACCCUCAUGGGACCAUCCCUUCUCUGUCCCCAAAGCACCCAGUACACCUGGGCCUUCUUCAGGAUCCCACUCUUUCCCUUCUCCCCUCCUUUCUUUCUUCCUCCACCUCUGCCUUUCUCCUUUCUGCCACGCACUGCCUGACCCAUCAGAUGUCAGUGUUUGCUGGUUAGACUGCAGUGGCGGAGAGCAGUCUCUCCAGGUUGACCUCCAUCUCUGCCGUACACGGCUUUGGGAAGUUCCUCUGGCGCUCCAGGCUUUCAUUUCAUCGCCUUGAAUGAAGGUUCUUCUGGGGGAUGAAAUAAAGUAGUCGUUGGUCGUCGCUCUGUCAAGACUGAUAGAUGAGUAAAUCCCGGAGACUUCAGAAAAGGAAGCCAGAGGAAACUGCCACCCUGCUGAGCCCCGGAGCUGCUGGCAGGCAGAGCCCCCUCUCUCUAAGUCACUACCAGACAGGCUGGCAGGAAAGUCUGCAAGAAUAUGGGCUUGAUGACAGGGAUGUCCUAAGAGGGAUGUCUCCAAGUCCAACCUCUGCCCUUGGAUCUCUCAGGUGCGAAGAAAGCACAGGUUCCCCUGUGGUAUCCAGCCCUCUGUGAGUCCCACCAUCUGCUGGAUCCAGAAGGGCCUCCUCUCUUCACAGGGAGCCCGAGGCAUUGCUUUCACUAAGGGCCCAGAAAAACUGCAAGCUUUGGUGCUGAGAGCCCCCCAAGCUCCCCGCGAAUGCCGUGAUUGCUAAAAAUUUGCUUCAUUCUGAUUUUGCCUCUUGCUGGCUGAAGGACUGGAUUUUAUACCAGGUCAAUUUCAGACCAUUUGAUAUUGAUAUAUGAAGAUCCCAGGGGAUUACUGAAUGCAUUUCUCAUCCUGCCUAGAUAGUAUCAUAGAAGGAAAAUGGGAUUGACUGUUAAGGACAAAUUGAGAAAGACAUGGCCAUUUAAGAUAACUCCUUAUCUGUAUACAAGCAAAUGGUAUCUGGGAAAUAGACCACCAGUUGACAGCAAGAAAUUCUACUCCGGGCUCUUCACCCACUCUCUCUUCUGCCGUUAACACUCAGGGAUUAUCCCGUUAUCCCGAGUGCUGUAUCCUGGGGGCCCCUGCUGGAGGGCACCAGAGAAGAGGGGUUUUUGAGACUUUAUUCUGAAAGGGUUGGGUGGGAGGGGCUGGGAUUGUCCAUGGAUACUCUGAGGAGUUUGGGAUGGAAUGGCUUUGAAUGUGACAGAUCUCCCCAGGACUUGGAGAAUGGUUCUCUCAGGGUGCGCAUGUGGCUUGAUGGAUGGAGGGUUGAACUUACCACAUUGUGAGUGAUCUUUGGGGUGAUCUUUUCACUCUCCUCGGUCAAGGGUGCCACUGAAGGCUCACGCCUAUGCUAACACUUUCCUGAGUCAUGAACUUGUGGAAACUUACUGGAGCCCCACGUUGGUUGGAGAACUUACUCCAAACCUCUGCUGGUUGGGGAAGCAGCUAUGCAGCUCGAGGUCCUGCUUUCCUUGGUGUUGGGGUACGGAUCCCACAGAUCCGUUGAUUGGUCCCAUUUGGUGGGCAUGUGUGCUGUGGGUUCUUGAAGGGGUCAAGGGUUGAUGUGGGGGUCUACCACAGUCCUCCAUGAUCAGGUACAUGUUCCCAUCUCUGUCCUUUAUCCACCCUGCUCCCAGCAGGGUGGAUUUCACAGGGGAAGGAUUCUGGAGACCAAGAGGAGCCAGGAGACCUGGGGUCUUCAAAGUCAAAGCUCUGGAAGUUUCUGAUGUCAGAUCCAUUAUUCCCCAGAUCACGGUCAUAGUUUAUCUUCUCCGUUGCUGUGAUAAAAAUACUCUGAUGAGAAGC